CCUGGCUCUGGGACGGGAGUGGGGGCUGGUGGUUAGAGCAGGGGGGCUGGGAGCCAGGACUCCUGGGUUCUGUCCUUGGCUUUUGGAGGAUAGUGGGGUUUAGUGGUUGGGGGCUGAGAACCAGAACUCCUGGGUUCUUUUCCCAGCUAUGCCCCCACUCAUUGUCUGACCCUUUGUUUCUGGCUCUCAUACCCAGUCUCUCUACUUUGGGUCAUUUCUGUGCUCUCUCGGGUGUUCAUAUUGAUGCCGCCUUAGCAUCCUUGUGAGCACUCUGAUGUUCGGUUGCAGGUGCUGUUGUCUUGGAGAUGCCUGGGUGUCAUCUCUAGAGCUGGGGGGACCUGACUGCAGGGGCCCAUGCACUGGGCCCUCAGGAUCUGUAGGAGCAUUGGGCGGGUGGGACGGGAGAGCAGGCCUUUCCAAGCCAUGGCUGCGCAGAGCAGCACCUUCCCUGCGCAGAAUGGCCACAAUGCCGUCACAGCCGGGAUCAUCAUCAUCGGAGAUGAGAUCCUGAAGGGACUCACCCAGGACACAAACUCCUUCUUCAUGUGCCGGAAGCUGCGGUCGCUGGGAGUGAAAGUUGCCAGAAUCUCCGUGGUCCCCGAUGAUGUCGAUACUAUCGCCACGGAGAUCUCCUCCUUCGCAGCCAAGUUCACCUAUGUGCUGACAUCGGGGGGCAUCGGCCCCACCCAUGAUGAUGUGACCUUUGAGGCGGUGGCCAAAGCCUUUGGGGAGCAGGUUUGCCCCCACCCAGAGCUGGUCGCCCUGGUACACAGGUUCUUUGGCAAGACGGAUGUGCAUUGCCCCGAGAUGAAGCUGGCGCACGUCCCUGAGUCCUCGCUGCUCAACUACGGCACGGACAAGAGGACGGGCGAUGCCAUGAAAUACCCCCUUGUCAGCGUGCGCAAUGUCUACGUCUUCCCGGGCAUCCCAGUGCUGAUGGAGCGGGCACUGGAGGGGCUCGGCCACCUCUUCCGCAACGAGCAGACCCGUUUCCACUCCCGGGAGAUCUACGUCAGCGCCGACGAGACGCUCCUGGCACCUGUGCUCAAUCAGGCCAACGCCCACUUCGGGCACCACACGCACCUGGGCUCCUACCCUGACUGGGUCAACAAUUACUACCGCGUGAGGCUGACCCUGGACUCGGAGUCUGAGCAGCACCUGGAGGAAGCCUACAGCUUCCUGAUGCAGAACCUGCCCCCUGCGCUGGUCGUGCCCCUGGUGACAGACCCUGUGGCGCGGGCAGCCACAGACGUGUAUGCCCUGGCUGAGUCUGGUUCCGCCCUGGGCCAGAAGGUGGCAGCAGCGCUCCGGACCAUCGACGAGGCCUUGGAUCGGUUCAGCCUGGCCCAGAUCUGCGUGGGCUUCAACGGGGGCAAGGACUGCACGGCCCUGCUGCACCUGUUCCAUGCCGCCGUGCAGAGGCGAUUCCCACAGCGGGAGGAGAAGUUGCAGGUGCUCUACAUUCGCAUCGUGUCCCCCUUCCCCGAGAUGGAGCAGUUCAUUCAGGCCACCACCCAGAGGUACGACCUCCACCUCUGCGCAGUGCAGGGCCGCAUCCAGCAGGCACUGGCAGACCUGAAGGCCCAGCACCCCCAGCUGCAGGCCGUGCUGAUGGGGACGAGGAGGACUGACCCCUACUCCCGCACUCUGACGCCCAUGUGUGUGACCGACCCCGGCUGGCCCGAGUACAUGCGGGUGAACCCCCUGCUGGACUGGACGUACCGGGACAUCUGGCAGUUCCUGCGCACGCUCUUCGUCCCGUACUGCAUCCUGUAUGACAAGGGCUACACCUCCCUGGGGAGCAUGAGCAACACGCAGAAGAACCCGGCGCUGCGCUCCACCAACGCACUGGGCCAGGAGAGCUACCGGCCGGCCUACCUGCUGGAGAACGAGGACGAGGAGCGCACCUCGCGCCAGUGAGGCCCUGCCAGGCAGGCCCCGGCCACAAGAACCCCCCGCUUGGCGGUGAACUGGGCUGAGCGCGGGCUGCUCCCCUGGGACACCCACCCGCGGCCUGGGGCCCUGCCUCCCAGACACCUGGAGCAGCCGUGUGCCCCCCGCCCACUGGGCACUGCUGGCUGGGGCAUGCGGAGGGAGGGCCUGGGGGCCCUCUGAAUAAACCCAUUGUACUCAGCCUCCUGCCUGCGUCUCCUGCCAGCACCGGCUCCCGGGGGGCUCAGAGCGUGGCCCCCACGGUGUGGGUCGGUGGGUACAUGGCAGUCCGGCCUGAGGAGGGCGGAGGACUCUGGGAGAUGGGAUGUGCAGGGAAUGUGACCCCUCCCUGGGCCCAUUGGCAGGGUGCCCCCGGCCAGUGCUGCCUGGUCUCUGGCAGCCUCCGCUCCUGGCACCACAUCUCCCCAUCCGCACUCUCCCUGGGUGAGCGCCAGGGCCAGGCUCCCACUGGUGCCAUCUGGCUGGGGCCCCAUGCCCUGUCCAAGGGGGGGGGCCUAGGGAGGCUGCGCCCCUUUUCCAGCAGGUUCAGUCUGGUUGGAGGCCAGGCCAGGCCCCCCGAGGGCAGGAGCGAGCAGACCUGCUCAGGCAGCAGCCCCUCCCCCACCCUGCCCGGGGCCCUAUUCAUGCAGCCCUUUGAGCUGCAAAGAAUCCAGCCGCUUCCAGCCUCUGUCACGCGGCUCUCCCCUGCCCGCGGCAGGGCCCAGACCCGGCUCAUCCCCGCAUGAUGCAUCUCCUGGGCAGACGCCUGGCCUGGCAGCCCCGGUCCCUGACCCGCUGCCCCCUGGCGCAGCUGGCCCCGUACCCCCUGCGACGGGCGGUUCGGGGCAUGGUGCUGCCGGGGCCCCUCCCCAAGGGUCCUGUGGGGCUGAAUCUCAGCUACUGGCUGCUGGACGUCCUGCGGGAGUGCGCCUACCUCCUGCUAUGCUGCUGGUGCAUCAAAGAACUGCUGGACUAGCCCCCCGCCCCCUCGUGUGCCGUGCUGCCGGGUGCUUGUCCUCCCAGCCCCCCUGCCCCUCCGCAGGGCUGGACCCACUGGCUGCACUCUGGGAUCGCCUGACCCCUUGCUGCUGGGGGGCCUGGAGCAGAUGGAGCUCCCACCAGAAGGACCCUUUGGGACGCCCUGAGCCUGUAGGAGCUGGAAUCCCGGCUCGCCAGCCCCGACAGGACGGGAAUGGGACUUGACGGUGGAUGCCUGGCCCCCGGCCCUGCGCUCCCCAAUAAACCUGAGCAACGCGUGA
Trachemys scripta elegans is the source of this 3191-nucleotide RNA transcript. It is a transcript of the gene named flavin adenine dinucleotide synthetase 1, with no coding region annotated. The transcript is spliced from 8 exons. NCBI's taxonomy places the organism in Eukaryota, Metazoa, Chordata, Testudines, Emydidae. The record is from RefSeq and is a predicted model, not a curated record.